UACGUAUGGGGCGAGCGUUGUUCGGAAUUAUUGGGCGUAAAGGGCGUCUAGGCGGGAAAUUAAGUUGGAUGUGAAAGCCAUGGGCUCAACCCAUGAACUGCAUCCAAAACUGAUUUUCUUGAGUUCGGGAGAGGAGAGCGGAAUUCCAGGUGUAGCGGUGAAAUGCGUAGAUAUCUGGAAGAACACCAGUGGCGAAGGCGGCUCUCUGGCCUAUAACUGACGCUGAAGCGCGAAAGCGUGGGGAGCGAACGGGAUUAGAUACCCCGGUAGUCCACGCUGUAAACGUUGUAUACUAGGUGUUAGUGGCUUGACCACUAGUGCCGACGCAAACGCAUUAAGUAUACCGCCUGGGGAGUACGCCCGCAAGGGUGAA
RNAcentral lists this ribosomal RNA (373 nucleotides) under uncultured bacterium. Its description in RNAcentral is "bacterial SSU rRNA". It matches the Rfam family "Bacterial small subunit ribosomal RNA", at positions 524 to 898 of the family's 1533-position model. The record is from RNAcentral.